CUGGGAGCCAACGGGGCCCUUGUGCACCAGGCCAGGUGAAACUAGAGGGCGAGCCCCCGAGCCUCGGCCUCCCAUCUGCUGCUUUGCCAGGUCUUGUCAGCUGCUCAUCUAAGGUCACCAAGUGACCUCAGGUCAGCAGGUGAGGAUGAUGGUGAGGACGACUGUCCCCUUCUACGGCUUCCUUGCCAGGACUGCACUAAGCCUCUUACAUACAUUCUGUCAUUUGGUUUCAGUUCCUUCGUACAGACAAGGAACCUGGGACUUAGAGAACCCUCUUUCCUAUCACGGGCUGUUAGAACAAAUGUGAGUCCUUUCUAGUUCCAAAGAACGACUUUGUGCUGUCCUCUGAUUAUAGGUCAUACCUUGGUACCUUAAGUGUAUGAUCCCUUCAACUGAUAACUAGGGACGCCCCGGCGGCUCAGUGGUGGAGCGUUCGGCCCCGGCCCAGGGCAUGACCCCGGGGUCCUGGGGUCGAGUCCCACGUCGGGCCUGUUUCUCCCUCUGCCUGGGUCUCUGCCUCUCUCUGUGUCUCUCAUGAAUAAAUAAAUAAAAAUCCUUAAAAAAAAAUAAUAAAUGUGACAUUGCUUAAGAAACUAACAUGUUAAAAAUCUGCUGGGUGUAUUUAGAAGGACAAGAUACAGUCUUGAACCUUGAAAAGUGUGUAGGUUAAAGAAUGACAAGUGAAAAAGUAAUGUACUUUAAAAAGCAGAAGAUAAACAUUGAUACUGCGAUCCGAUGAUUGUCCUAACAACCCAGAGGUAAUGGUGACAUGGACAAGAACUACCGCAUGCAGGACGGAGGAAGAGAGAGAUACCGGAUCCACGUCCAGGAGCACGACUCCGAGCGGCGGGGGCAGGAGGAAGCGUGUUGGCGAAGGCGUGCGGCUGUGCACCCCCUGCAGGGAGUUGCCAGUGCACCUGGCCCAGGAAUACUCUGGCCAAAUCUCUACCUUGGAUAUUACCUUUUCAGGUCAUCAUAACAUCAACUGAUGCUCCUGGAUAAUUGAAUGAACGAUGCCCAACAUAAGACUGUGAUUGGUUUGUGUGAUUUCAUAAAUGCACAAAAGACACAUGAACUUACUCAAUGAUCCAUUUUUACUUUUGUCAAGGUGAAUAUAAAAACAAAUUGGACUUAUAUUGCUUUUUAAUGAAACAUCUCUAAUGCUAGUGGAAGAUGGAUGCACAGUUAUCAAAUGCGCUUUGGCGAUGACAUUUAAGGAAACAGGUGUGUGACCUGAAUAGCUAUAGGUGGUCUGUUUUCUGUUUUCUGGUUGAGAAUUGAUUUGUGCAUUUGACCUGAAAGGAAGAUAUUAACUCUUUCAAGUCACAGAUGAAAUUAUUCUUUCAUUGAGUAGACAUACUUUGGGGGGCACCCUCUCUGGGCUAGGCACUAUUCUGAGUAGAUAAGAGCAAUAAAAGUCCCCGAGGUGAUGCA
Long non-coding RNA from Vulpes vulpes (red fox), 1434 nucleotides. The record is from Ensembl. Lineage: Eukaryota; Metazoa; Chordata; Mammalia; Carnivora; Canidae.